CCGCUUUCGACUGAACCGUACUCGCUUCAGAUCCUUGACACCACCUGGCAGGGAGGCAAAUGUUAUAUAUACUCCAGGCUCAUCUUGCUCCACACGUUCAGCUUCAUGGUUUGAUUCAACUUCUUUUUUUCUGCUUCCAUUUCUUGCUGUUGCUUCCAAAUGGCCUUGUUUGUUGUGACCUGAAGUACGGAUGCUGGUGGCGCUAGAGCCAUUAGACUGAACCUGGCUGUUUAAUCCAUUUGUGUCUGAUCCUUCAGAUGCUAUUUGACCAUCCAGACAAUCAAAAGAAGCAUUAGGAACAUCAUCGGAAGGAGUAGUCAAGGCAGGCGAAGUGAAGGAGGGUGAUUUGAUGUUCCGGGCUGCUCCUACUGGUAGCCUUUCAGCCAUGUCUUUUAAUUGGGCAGUCAGCGAUUUGAUCACUUCUUUAGCUGCUUUGCAUUUAGCUGUCUCUUCACCUGCAAUUGCUAUUGCUUCCUGCAGUUGUUUAGUUGUCCUUUCCAGCUCAACUUCCUGAAGCUGGGCUUUACGAGUAAGAUUUUCUACCUGAGCUCUCAAUUUAAUAACCUCUUGGCUGAG
This 576-nucleotide unclassified non-coding RNA is filed under the name Hevea brasiliensis (rubber tree). The record is from RNAcentral. Lineage: Eukaryota; Viridiplantae; Streptophyta; Magnoliopsida; Malpighiales; Euphorbiaceae.